UUUAAUCUUGACAUAUUUCUUUGUUAGAAUCUUAUAUCCAUGAUAAUUCCUUGGACAACUAUGAGAUCCAUUCUCCGCUCUCUCUAAGACAACAUUACCUCUGCUCUUUUUCAUUUUCAAAAAUCUUAUGGCCAAAUUGCUUCUGAACUUGGCUGUAAUAAAGUUACUAUAUCUAAACUAGUAAAAAAAUAUUACUUUUAAUAGUAAAAACCUUAAAUUAGAUAGACCAAAGAAACUCAAUGUAUUAGAUCAAAGAGCAAUCAUUUGCCAAUCAACACUAAGAAGGCUGAAAAUGUUGUUGAGGUUGCUAAAAACCUUAACAAUAUUAUCAGUAAUCUUGUGUCAAUC
RNAcentral lists this long non-coding RNA (348 nucleotides) under Physcomitrium patens. RNAcentral describes it as "long non-coding RNA (PPAT_LNC009513)". Lineage: Eukaryota; Viridiplantae; Streptophyta; Bryopsida; Funariales; Funariaceae. The record is from RNAcentral.